CAUAGGUUAAUGAGGCGAACCGGGGGAACUGAAACAUCUAAGUACCCCGAGGAAAAGAAAUCAACCGAGAUUCCCCCAGUAGCGGCGAGCGAACGGGGAGCAGCCCAGAGCCUGAAUCAGUGUGUGUGUUAGUGGAAGCGUCUGGAAAGGCGCGCGAUACAGGGUGACAGCCCCGUACACAAAAAUGCACAUGCUGUGAGCUCGAUGAGUAGGGCGGGACACGUGGUAUCCUGUCUGAAUAUGGGGGGACCAUCCUCCAAGGCUAAAUACUCCUGACUGACCGAUAGUGAACCAGUACCGUGAGGGAAAGGCGAAAAGAACCCCGGCGAGGGGAGUGAAAAAGAACCUGAAACCGUGUACGUACAAGCAGUGGGAGCACAGAGCAAUCUGUGUGACUGCGUACCUUUUGUAUAAUGGGUCAGCGACUUAUAUUCUGUAGCAAGGUUAACCGAAUAGGGGAGCCGAAGGGAAACCGAGUCUUAACUGGGCGUUAAGUUGCAGGGUAUAGACCCGAAACCCGGUGAUCUAGCCAUGGGCAGGUUGAAGGUUGGGUAACACUAACUGGAGGACCGAACCGACUAAUGUUGAAAAAUUAGCGGAUGACUUGUGGCUGGGGGUGAAAGGCCAAUCAAACCGGGAGAUAGCUGGUUCUCCCCGAAAGCUAUUUAGGUAGCGCCUCGUGAAUUCAUCUCCGGGGGUAGAGCACUGUUUCGGCAAGGGGGUCAUCCCGACUUACCAACCCGAUGCAAACUGCGAAUACCGGAGAAUGUUAUCACGGGAGACACACGGCGGGUGCUAACGUCCGUCGUGAAGAGGGAAACAACCCAGACCGCCAGCUAAGGUCCCAAAGUCAUGGUUAAGUGGGAAACGAUGUGGGAAGGCCCAGACAGCCAGGAUGUUGGCUUAGAAGCAGCCAUCAUUUAAAGAAAGCGUAAUAGCUCACUGGUCGAGUCGGCCUGCGCGGAAGAUGUAACGGGGCUAAACCAUGCACCGAAGCUGCGGCAGCGACGCUUAUGCGUUGUUGGGUAGGGGAGCGUUCUGUAAGCCUGCGAAGGUGUGCUGUGAGGCAUGCUGGAGGUAUCAGAAGUGCGAAUGCUGACAUAAGUAACGAUAAAGCGGGUGAAAAGCCCGCUCGCCGGAAGACCAAGGGUUCCUGUCCAACGUUAAUCGGGGCAGGGUGAGUCGACCCCUAAGGCGAGGCCGAAAGGCGUAGUCGAUGGGAAACAGGUUAAUAUUCCUGUACUUGGUGUUACUGCGAAGGGGGGACGGAGAAGGCUAUGUUGGCCGGGCGACGGUUGUCCCGGUUUAAGCGUGUAGGCUGGUUUUCCAGGCAAAUCCGGAAAAUCAAGGCUGAGGCGUGAUGACGAGGCACUACGGUGCUGAAGCAACAAAUGCCCUGCUUCCAGGAAAAGCCUCUAAGCAUCAGGUAACAUCAAAUCGUACCCCAAACCGACACAGGUGGUCAGGUAGAGAAUACCAAGGCGCUUGAGAGAACUCGGGUGAAGGAACUAGGCAAAAUGGUGCCGUAACUUCGGGAGAAGGCACGCUGAUAUGUAGGUGAAGUCCCUCGCGGAUGGAGCUGAAAUCAGUCGAAGAUACCAGCUGGCUGCAACUGUUUAUUAAAAACACAGCACUGUGCAAACACGAAAGUGGACGUAUACGGUGUGACGCCUGCCCGGUGCCGGAAGGUUAAUUGAUGGGGUUAGCGCAAGCGAAGCUCUUGAUCGAAGCCCCGGUAAACGGCGGCCGUAACUAUAACGGUCCUAAGGUAGCGAAAUUCCUUGUCGGGUAAGUUCCGACCUGCACGAAUGGCGUAAUGAUGGCCAGGCUGUCUCCACCCGAGACUCAGUGAAAUUGAACUCGCUGUGAAGAUGCAGUGUACCCGCGGCAAGACGGAAAGACCCCGUGAACCUUUACUAUAGCUUGACACUGAACAUUGAGCCUUGAUGUGUAGGAUAGGUGGGAGGCUUUGAAGUGUGGACGCCAGUCUGCAUGGAGCCGACCUUGAAAUACCACCCUUUAAUGUUUGAUGUUCUAACGUGGACCCGUAAUCCGGGUUGCGGACAGUGUCUGGUGGGUAGUUUGACUGGGGCGGUCUCCUCCUAAAGAGUAACGGAGGAGCACGAAGGUUGGCUAAUCCUGGUCGGACAUCAGGAGGUUAGUGCAAUGGCAUAAGCCAGCUUGACUGCGAGCGUGACGGCGCGAGCAGGUGCGAAAGCAGGUCAUAGUGAUCCGGUGGUUCUGAAUGGAAGGGCCAUCGCUCAACGGAUAAAAGGUACUCCGGGGAUAACAGGCUGAUACCGCCCAAGAGUUCAUAUCGACGGCGGUGUUUGGCACCUCGAUGUCGGCUCAUCACAUCCUGGGGCUGAAGUAGGUCCCAAGGGUAUGGCUGUUCGCCAUUUAAAGUGGUACGCGAGCUGGGUUUAGAACGUCGUGAGACAGUUCGGUCCCUAUCUGCCGUGGGCGCUGGAGAACUGAGGGGGGCUGCUCCUAGUACGAGAGGACCGGAGUGGACGCAUCACUGGUGUU
Molecule: ribosomal RNA, 2529 nt
Filed under: Escherichia coli
Lineage: Bacteria; Pseudomonadati; Pseudomonadota; Gammaproteobacteria; Enterobacterales; Enterobacteriaceae
Description: partial 23S ribosomal RNA
Rfam family: Bacterial large subunit ribosomal RNA
Source: RNAcentral